GUCAGGAUGGCCGAGUGGUCUAAGGCGCCAGACUCAAGGGACUCCCUUACCUACGGGUGUUCUGGUCUCCGCAUGGAGGCGUGGGUUCGAAUCCCACUUCUGACA
This is a non-coding RNA of Myotis davidii, 105 nucleotides long. The record is from Rfam. NCBI's taxonomy places the organism in Eukaryota, Metazoa, Chordata, Mammalia, Chiroptera, Vespertilionidae.